RNAcentral lists this ribosomal RNA (440 nucleotides) under uncultured bacterium. Its description in RNAcentral is "partial 16S ribosomal RNA". It matches the Rfam family "Bacterial small subunit ribosomal RNA", at positions 338 to 795 of the family's 1533-position model. The record is from RNAcentral.
CCUACGGGAGGCUGCAGUGGGGAAUAUUGCACAAUGGGGGAAACCCUGAUGCAGCGACGCCGCGUGAGUGAAGAAGUAUUUCGGUACGUAAAGCUCUAUCAGCAGGGAAGAAAAUGACGGUACCUGACUCAGAAGCCCCGGCUAACUACGUACCAGCAGCCGCGGUAAUACGUAGGGGGCAAGCGUUAUCCGGAUUUACUGGGUGUAAAGGGAGCGUAGACGGCAGCGCAAGUCUGGAGUGAAAUCCCAGGGGUUAACCAUGGAACUGCUUUGGAAACUGUGCAGCUAGAGUGGAGGAGAGGUAAGCGGAAUUCCUGGUGUAGCGGUGAAAUGCGUAGAUAUCAGGAGGAACACCAGUGGCGAAGGCGGCUUACUGGACUAUAACUGACGUUGAGGCUCGAAAGCGUGGGGAGCGAACAGGAUUAGAUACCCCUGUAGUC